Long non-coding RNA from Sander lucioperca (pikeperch), 318 nucleotides. RefSeq lists it as uncharacterized. NCBI's taxonomy places the organism in Eukaryota, Metazoa, Chordata, Actinopteri, Perciformes, Percidae. The transcript is spliced from 3 exons. The record is from RefSeq and is a predicted model, not a curated record.
GCGUCGAAAGGAGCCAGUUGAGGUGGUUUGGGCAUCUGAUAAGGAUGCCCCCUGGGCGCCUCCCUAGGGAGGUGUUCCAGGCACGUCCAGCUGGGAGGAGGCCUCGGGGAAGACCCAGGACUAGGUGGAGGGAUGAUAUCUCCAACCUGGCCUGGGAACGCCUCGGGAUCCCCCAGUCGGAGCUGGUUAAUGUGGCUUGGUAAAAAGGGACAUUUGGGAUCCCCUACUGGAGCUGCUUCCCCCCGUGACCCGACCCCGGAUAAGCGGACGAAGAUGGAUGGAUGGAUGAAUAGAUGGAGAGGUAGAUGUCAUUUUUCA